UACGGAGGGUGCGAGCGUUAAUCGGAAUUACUGGGCGUAAAGCGUGCGCAGGCGGUUUGUUAAGCGAGAUGUGAAAGCCCCGGGCUCAACCUGGGAACCGCAUUUCGAACUGGCAAACUAGAGUCUUGUAGAGGGGGGUAGAAUUCCAGGUGUAGCGGUGAAAUGCGUAGAGAUCUGGAGGAAUACCGGUGGCGAAGGCGGCCCCCUGGUCAGAAACUGACGCUGAGGUACGAAAGCGUGGGGAGCAAACAGG
This 253-nucleotide ribosomal RNA is filed under the name uncultured microorganism. RNAcentral's name for it is "partial 16S ribosomal RNA". It matches the Rfam family "Bacterial small subunit ribosomal RNA", at positions 524 to 776 of the family's 1533-position model. The record is from RNAcentral.